This is a long non-coding RNA of Pezoporus flaviventris, 474 nucleotides long. RefSeq lists it as uncharacterized. The record is from RefSeq and is a predicted model, not a curated record. The transcript has 2 exons. Lineage: Eukaryota; Metazoa; Chordata; Aves; Psittaciformes; Psittacidae.
ACGUUUCCAGCCACAAGUAAUGAGAUCACUGGACUAGAAUUUUGCCAGCACUCUAAAGACUAAUCAGUGCACUGGAGCAGGCAGGAACUAUCGGAUGGGCUUAUCCUUGUGUGACAUGUCUGCUGUGUCCUGAGGAGAUCCUGAUGUCACUCCAGGAGGCACAGCCUAAACAUGGAAAUGAAGAAAACAGUCCUCCAGCAGAGGGCUGGUCAGAGCACACAGUGACAUCUCCCACAUCAAGACUAGCGCCACAUUUGCCACAACACAAGCCAUCUGAGAUGUUGGUACUGCAGCUCCACUGCAAGGAUUUCAAGUUAUGAGUGAAAAUUAGAUUGUCUGGAGUAAAAUGAUCAACAGUCGACAAUAUUUGAGUUUGAGAUAUGUCAUAGAGCUUCUUUUUCUUGUUAGUUAACAAAAAGGUAUGCUUAAAUAAAAAUCUGCAGUGAGAAAUAUAUCUGAGCUUUCCAUUUUGAA